CAUGCAAGUCGAGCGGCAAGUCGAGGAGUAAUCUAAGACCUAGAGCGGCGCACGGGUGCGUAACGCGUAUGCAAUCUACCUUUCACAAAGGGAUAGCCCAGAGAAAAUUUGGAUUAAUACCUUAUAGUAAUACGACUUGGCAUCAAGAUGUAUUUAAAGAUUUAUCGGUGAAAGAUGAGCAUGCGUCCCAUUAGCUAGUUGGUAAGGUAACGGCUUACCAAGGCAACGAUGGGUAGGGGUCCUGAGAGGGAGAUCCCCCACACUGGUACUGAGACACGGACCAGACUCCUACGGGAGGCAGCAGUGAGGAAUAUUGGACAAUGGGCGCAAGCCUGAUCCAGCCAUGCCGCGUGCAGGAUGACGGUCCUAUGGAUUGUAAACUGCUUUUAUACAGGAAGAAACAGUUCUACGUGUAGAACCUUGACGGUACUGUAAGAAUAAGGAUCGGCUAACUCCGUG
RNAcentral lists this ribosomal RNA (459 nucleotides) under uncultured bacterium. RNAcentral's name for it is "bacterial SSU rRNA". It matches the Rfam family "Bacterial small subunit ribosomal RNA", at positions 54 to 507 of the family's 1533-position model. The record is from RNAcentral.